UUUCAGGACAUGUUGAACUGGUAGCAGUGUGAGGCAUCAUCACAGAUGCCUAGGUUUUUCAGAAGAGGACUCUCAAGACCGAAGAGGACAGCUGAUUUAGGUCAGGCACAGAGGGAGCUGUGGGAAGCCUUCACCGAUGGUCCCCACGGGUCCGCUGCUGCAGCUAUUUCCAGGCCCGCAUGGACUGGGAGGGAAAUGCCUGGCUACCUUCAGAAUGAAGCACAGUUGAGCAUCUCACUAAGUCACGCUGCCCAGAAUGCUCAUCACUGGGAUGAGAUGAAGGUCUGUGACCCUUUGCCAGGGUGGGAGGAGACGCAGGUCCCUGCUGUGACCAUUAGACCACUUGGGAAUAAGUGUGUGGCUUUGGAGCUAAGAAAGAUCGAAAUAACUUGGACCCUUAAUACAGAGCCUGGCCCAGACACACGGCUGCUCCUUCUGUUAUGCACAUGUUCAGGCUGGUGA
RNAcentral lists this long non-coding RNA (462 nucleotides) under Capra hircus (goat). RNAcentral's name for it is "lncRNA (ENSCHIG00000002019.1)". The record is from RNAcentral. Lineage: Eukaryota; Metazoa; Chordata; Mammalia; Artiodactyla; Bovidae.